This 253-nucleotide ribosomal RNA is filed under the name uncultured bacterium. RNAcentral describes it as "partial 16S ribosomal RNA". It matches the Rfam family "Bacterial small subunit ribosomal RNA", at positions 524 to 776 of the family's 1533-position model. The record is from RNAcentral.
UACGAAGGGGGCUAGCGUUGCUCGGAUUUACUGGGCGUAAAGGGCGCGUAGGCGGUUUGUACAGUCAGACGUGAAAUUCCUGGGCUCAACCUGGGGGCUGCGUUUGAUACGUGCGAGCUUGAGUUCGGAAGAGGGUCGUGGAAUUCCCAGUGUAGAGGUGAAAUUCGUAGAUAUUGGGAAGAACACCGGUGGCGAAGGCGGCGACCUGGUCCGAUACUGACGCUGAGGCGCGAAAGCGUGGGGAGCAAACAGG